UACGUAGGGGGCAAGCGUUGUCCGGAAUCAUUGGGCGUAAAGCGCGCGUAGGCGGCCCGGUAAGUCCGCUGUAAAAGUCCAGGGCUCAACCCUGGGAAGCCGGUGGAUACUGUCGGGCUAGAGUCCGGAAGAGGCGAGUGGAAUUCCUGGUGUAGCGGUGGAAUGCGCAGAUAUCAGGAGGAACACCGGUGGCGAAGGCGGGAUCCUGGGCCAGUACUGACGCUGAGGAGCGAAAGCGUGGGGAGCAAACGGG
Molecule: ribosomal RNA, 253 nt
Filed under: uncultured bacterium
Lineage: Bacteria
Description: partial 16S ribosomal RNA
Rfam family: Bacterial small subunit ribosomal RNA
Source: RNAcentral